RNAcentral lists this ribosomal RNA (487 nucleotides) under uncultured bacterium. RNAcentral's name for it is "partial 16S ribosomal RNA". It matches the Rfam family "Bacterial small subunit ribosomal RNA", at positions 30 to 523 of the family's 1533-position model. The record is from RNAcentral.
AUUGAACGCUGGCGGAAUGCCUAACACAUGCAAGUCGAGCGGGGUAGCAAUAUACAGCGGCGGACGGGUGAGGAAUACGUAGGAAUUUGCGUUUAGGUGGGGGAUAGAUUGGGGAAACUCAAGGUAAUACCGCAUGAUCUCGCAAGAGCAAGGUGGGGGACCGCAAGGACUCACGCCUGUAGAGAAGCCUACAUCAGAUGAGCUUGUUGGUGAGGUAAUGGCUCACCAAGGCGACGAUCAGUAACUGGUCUGAGAGGACGAUCAGUCACACCGGAACUGGGACACGGUCCGGACUCCUACGGGAGGCAGCAGUGGGGAAUAUUGGACAAUGGGCGAAAUCCUGAUCCAGCAAUUCCGCGUGUGUGAAGAAGGCCUUCGGGUUGUAAAGCACUUUAGGUUGGGAAGAAAAAGCUUCGGCGAAUAUCCGGAGUGUUGACGGUACCAACAGAAUAAGCACCGGCUAACUCUGUGCCAGCCGCCGCGGUAA